GGUGGAAGGGGAUGUAAUGUAUUACAGGAGCUACUGCCAGUGAGACGCUGCAGAAAAGACCAGCCUCCGAGGCCAGCAAACCAAAUGGACCUCUGCAUCUGGAGAUCAAAGGGGCGGAUGUGGUCACCAUUGGCAUCCCAUACGGGUUCUGGUGCUCUGCAAAAUGCCACCCGUCCUGCUUGUACACAUUUACCUAUAAUGGGCAAACAUCCUAUGAAAGCGAGCUUGACAUUAUUUUCAAAAGGAUCGUGUCCUCAGAAGUCCUCACCUGUGAGGCUAGGAAUCCAACCACUGGAAAGACCGUCAGCAUUAGCAAGACUCUCCAAGUGGCAGAGGGACCUUCCAAAGUCAGUAUCACAGCACCUAAAAUGCUGUUGAAUGGAGUCGAGUCUACAUUUGUCUGCAAUGCUAUUUGCUACCCUUCCUGCACCUACACUUGGUACAUUGGUUUCCAAGUAUGGACAAACGCCAGCCAUGAACUUAAUUACACAACAUCACUUUACGCAAAUAAGGAGACUGUAGAGUGCCAAGUUCAAAACAGUCUCUCUAAUCUUUUUGUGGCAACCAGCGUUACCGUUUGGGUGGCACGGGGGCCUAUGGACAUGACCAUUAGUGGACCAUCAUCUGUGAC
Long non-coding RNA from Clupea harengus (Atlantic herring), 631 nucleotides. The record is from Ensembl. NCBI's taxonomy places the organism in Eukaryota, Metazoa, Chordata, Actinopteri, Clupeiformes, Clupeidae.